AUUGAACGCUGGCGGCAUGCCUUACACAUGCAAGUCGAACGGCAGCGCGGACUUCGGUCUGGCGGCGAGUGGCGAACGGGUGAGUAAUACAUCGGAACGUACCCUGUUGUGGGGGAUAACUAGUCGAAAGAUUAGCUAAUACCGCAUACGACCUGAGGGUGAAAGUGGGGGACCGCAAGGCCUCCCGCAGCAGGAGCGGCCGAUGUCUGAUUAGCUAGUGGGUGGGGUAAAGGCCCACCAAGGCGACGAUCAGUAGCUGGUCUGAGAGGACGAUCAGCCACACUGGGACUGAGACACGGCCCAGACUCCUACGGGAGGCAGCAGUGGGGAAUUUUGGACAAUGGGGGCAACCCUGAUCCAGCAAUGCCGCGUGUGUGAAGAAGGCCUUCGGGUUGUAAAGCACUUUUGUCCGGAAAGAAAUCGCGCUGGUUAAUACCUGGCGUGGAUGACGGUACCGGAAGAAUAAGCACCGGCUAACUACGUGCCAGCCGCCGCCGUAA
RNAcentral lists this ribosomal RNA (500 nucleotides) under uncultured bacterium. Its description in RNAcentral is "partial 16S ribosomal RNA". It matches the Rfam family "Bacterial small subunit ribosomal RNA", at positions 29 to 523 of the family's 1533-position model. The record is from RNAcentral.